RNAcentral lists this long non-coding RNA (509 nucleotides) under Zea mays. Its description in RNAcentral is "long non-coding RNA NONZMAT003890". Lineage: Eukaryota; Viridiplantae; Streptophyta; Magnoliopsida; Poales; Poaceae. The record is from RNAcentral.
CUUUUCCCUCCGACGACGAGGGAGCCACCGGCGGCGGCGGUAAUCCAGGCGCUGUCGUUGAAGGCUCGCCACCACCGGCCCGUAGUCAUCUUCGUCGAGGCCAGUGGCUCCACCGUGCUUCCCUCCGAUGCCGCCUCCCUCUAGAUCCGCCGCUUCCCUGCCCCCUGCUCGUCGAUUCGGCUAGGAAUUGAGACCUCCUCCGCGUUUCCGCCAGUGUCGCCCUAUGCGCGUGCGACACCUAGACCGGACCUGAAAUUUUAUCUUCAAUCGACCUAUGGAUGUUCCGUGCUCCUCUCUCUCACACGCCGCCGGCUCACUGCCGCCUCUUCUCACUCCCAUGCCAUGCCCAUCGCCGCACGUCUGCCUCGUCCAAAUCUCGCUGCGACCUACAUCCCCGGCGUCGUGGCCGGCUCCACCAACCCGUGGCCUUCGACCACCGCCGCACACUCCAUCUCGCCAGGUCGCCCGUAUGGGCGUAUGGCCCAGCACUUUCUUUCAUCUUGUCUCCG